AAGAAAGGCAGGCACAAUCGAGUGUAUACAAUGUUUUAACUCUUCGGCUUAUUUGAAUUUUUUGCGAUUAAUAUUUACUAUAUGAUAAAAUAAGAAUAGUACUUUAUGCGUGACUAAUUUCUUUAAGUUUUUUAUAAAUUUUUUAAAUAAGACGAAUGGUCAAACUUUGGACACAAAAAUCAAAAAAUAAGGUUAUU
Molecule: microRNA precursor, 197 nt
Filed under: Oryza brachyantha (malo sina)
Lineage: Eukaryota; Viridiplantae; Streptophyta; Magnoliopsida; Poales; Poaceae
Description: MIR812 microRNA precursor family
Rfam family: MIR812 microRNA precursor family
Source: Rfam by way of RNAcentral